Molecule: long non-coding RNA, 351 nt
Organism: Schistocerca gregaria
Lineage: Eukaryota; Metazoa; Arthropoda; Insecta; Orthoptera; Acrididae
Exons: 3
Source: RefSeq, a predicted model, not a curated record
AGGGACGCAGCAACUGCAGCAAGCGCCGCAACAAGCUCCAACAACGACAAAGGAUCAAUGUUAUGAAGAAACUGAACACCCAGACGGGAAGGAAUAUGGCUUCAGCUCUAACUGCUACUGAUAGGCGGCCGGUAACUGAAGCAGACACAGCUGCAGAAACUGCUACCAAGAAGUCAAGGAUAAAGAAAAGAAUGAAGAGAAAGACAAUGGAGGACAAGGAAACAGGAGGAAAACUUGAGUAUUCAGCUGGAACGUUCUAAACAUGUGAUCAGCAUCAGGAAAGGAAAUUGGAGGCAUAAAACACUUAAGUGAAUGUUGUCUGUACUGUGACUCUAUUUCCAAGCUGUGCAG